UGUAUCGGAACGUGCCCAGUCGUGGGGGAUAACGUAGUGAAAAUUACGCUAAUACCGCAUACGAUCUAUGGAUGAAAGCGGGGGAUCGCAAGACCUCGCGCGAUUGGAGCGGCCGAUAUCAGAUUAGGUAGUUGGUGGGGUAAAGGCCCACCAAGCCAACGAUCUGUAGCUGGUCUGAGAGGACGACCAGCCACACUGGAACUGAGACACGGUCCAGACUCCUACGGGAGGCAGCAGUGGGGAAUUUUGGACAAUGGGCGCAAGCUUGAUCCAGCCAUUCCGCGUGCAGGAUGAAGGCCCUCGGGUUGUAAACUGCUUUUGUACAGAACGAAAAGGUUUCUACUAAUACUAGGAGCUCAUGACGGUACUGUAAGAAUAAGCACCGGCUAACUACGUGCCAGCAGCCGCGGUAAUACGUAGGGUGCAAGCGUUAAUCGGAAUUACUGGGCGUAAAGCGUGCGCAGGCGGUUAUAUAAGUCAGAUGUGAAAUCCCCGGGCUCAACCUGGGAACUGCAUUUGAGACUGUAUAGCUAGAGUACGGCAGAGGGGGAUGGAAUUCCGCGUGUAGCAGUGAAAUGCGUAGAUAUGCGGAGGAACACCGAUGGCGAAGGCAAUCCCCUGGGCCUGUACUGACGCUCAUGCACGAAAGCGUGGGGAGCAAACAGGAUUAGAUACCCUGGUAGUCCACGCCCUAAACGAUGUCAACUGGUUGUUGGGUCUUAACUGACUCAGUAACGAAGCUAACGCGUGAA
This 752-nucleotide ribosomal RNA is filed under the name uncultured beta proteobacterium. RNAcentral's name for it is "bacterial SSU rRNA". It matches the Rfam family "Bacterial small subunit ribosomal RNA", at positions 114 to 863 of the family's 1533-position model. The record is from RNAcentral. Lineage: Bacteria; Pseudomonadati; Pseudomonadota; Betaproteobacteria.